Molecule: long non-coding RNA, 535 nt
Organism: Pseudophryne corroboree (corroboree frog)
Lineage: Eukaryota; Metazoa; Chordata; Amphibia; Anura; Myobatrachidae
Exons: 3
Source: RefSeq, a predicted model, not a curated record
CGUUGCCAUGGUUGCCUCCAGUAAACGGAAGUAUCAAUGUUUUCUCGUCGUGGCUAUAGCAACCAAAGCCGUCCGUGCGGUCGUGUCCUCAGCGAGAUCACAGUCCACUGCUGUGUAAUGUGCAUUGCUGGAAACGGAAACAAUGGGUUGGCUUGUUGCAAUGGUGAUAUCAUACUGGACGUUCAGGACACAGGUCUGUGACGUCCUCUUUCAGCGCGGCAACGGGGCGGGUGAGCUGUCCCGCAUCCGACGUCGGCAUUCACGUGGUGACGGUGUACUAUAAAGCUUCCUCUCCCCCUGACGAAGUCUCUAAGACGAAACAUGUUGGAGUGGUAAUCGGAUGCUGGAAUAAUCCUUUGUCUGCUGUCCUGAUCUGGUGGAGUCCCGAGCAAGGGAUCGGUGAAUCAGCUGUGGUCAACGGCCGCUCCCCUGGUGCUGUCCGGAUGUGUGUGAAACAUUGUGCCGCUUGUCCGAUACUAAGAUGUAUGUAUGCAGAUGCUGCUGUUAAUUAAAUACUUUUAACUGCUUACUUAUA